UGCUCUGUUUCUUGUUCGGUCUGUUAACAGUGUGUUGUCUCCAGGACCCCAAAUGGCAAAUUGGGUCUGUUUACACGCCAGCAGACGCUGUGGCUCAGGCGCUAAAGACAAUACCUCUGAGGGACACCCGUGUUCUUUCAAGGACAAUCGUCGAUUGGUUUACAAGGUUUGAGAAUUGAGCCAACCUCGUGUAUUGUUAAGAAAUGGUAAAAAUAUGUAUAUACAUGAGUCAUGGUAUUACAAAUAUCUUUAUUGUUAUUGUCGAGUCAACGCAAAAUAUGGGAUACAAGUCUUGUUUAUGAUUGCUGUAUCAUUGGAUUUGCAAUAAAAUAUUUAUGUGUAUAUUUUGAUAAAUGACAUAGAUAGGUCAUAUAUAUUCGCUGAUUUUCCGUGGAAGAAGGUUUGUCGAGUUGCAAAAAUGUUGUAAUUUGAAAGUUGCAUUGCAAAAUGCAUCUGCUUUUCCCAGUUCAGUUCCAGUCAAAGGUCCGAAUUUUACAGCCUCUUCCCUAGUCUGGCUCCAAAACAAGAAUCGAUCUCGAGGAAAGUCAGUUGCGAAGACAAUGGCAAUCAGAGUAGACGUUGUUUCAUGAAUAUUAAACCUCCUGGUGAAGUUAAUUUUGUGUAUGUAUAAAUAAAAUGAUCAAAUAUAUAAAAAAAUUAUCGAUAAUAUAUACAAAGAAAUUCACCAUGCGCCUUGGUUUUAUUCUAGUCUAUUAAUAUAAAGAACACUAGAUUAAGAUUCGUGCCUUGUGCGGGAUAAACAUUAUAUAUAUAAAUUAUUUUAUGUAUUAUAUGUUCUUACAUAUUAUGAAAUAAUAAAUAUAUAUUGAAUAAUUAAAUGUCAGUAACUAUUACAUAUAUAAUUAAAUUGGUGCGAACGUAUAAAUCAAUUUUAUUAAUCCAAACAAUUUUUUUUAAAAAAUAGGAUAUGUAAUUAAAUUUAAAUGAUAUUAACAUACAUAGUAUAUUUUUAAUAUUAAUGUCUAUUAAAUGAUGCUUCUACUCAUAUGUUUUUUUGAUCAUGUGUAUCUUUAAUAGCAAAAACUUUAAAUUACUGAUAACAAAAUUUUCAUUGUGGGAUUAAUAAUUUUAGUAAUUGAUAAUUAAAAAAAAUGUAUCAAUGCUAGUUCAAAACUUUUAUCAAAAACAUUUAUUCAAAAUAAAUUUUCAAACUAAAAUAUUUAUUUAUUCAAUAUGGUUUAUAAUUUAAUUAGAAUGAUAUAUAUACAUAUAUAUUUUAAAUCUUAAUUAUUAAUUUAAUUAGACUUUUACUUAUAUGAUUUUGUAAUCAUUUGUAUUUUGUCAUAACAAAAAUUUUAAACCAUGGAUCGCAAAAUUUGAAUGUGAGACUUUUAACAGUUUUAGUAAUUUAUAGUCAUUUUUAAAAAUUGAAAAUAUAACAUAUACAGAAAAAUCUAAUUUUUUAUAAUAUGGUUAUUGUGAUUUUUUUUAAAUUUUUUUUUAAUAGUUUAAAAUUAAACAAAUUUGAUAGAAGAUACAUUAUUUUUUUAUCAGAUCUUUAUUAUUCAAAAUCAUUAAUUGUCAUAUAUACUUUACUCACAUUAGGCAAUUCCGUAAUCUUUAUUUAAGGAAAUAAUAAAUGACAUUAAUAAUGAAUUUAUGAUUAUUUUAAUAAAAAACUUAUUAUAUAAUUAGAUGAACCAACAUAUUUUUUUGAUAAUUCUAAGAAUCAUCUUAGUGAUGACACGUGGGUUCAAAAAGAAGUUGUAAUGUUUCACAAAUAAUAUAUCGGGGAUUUUUCUCUCUUCCUGUUGCUGCCACAUCAAUAAUCACUCCUCUCAGAUUGACAUGUGUCCUAUUUUUUUAUUCUCUUCAUUACUCUUAUUUGUGGACUUAACAAUUGAACUAAAUGGGCUUACGAAUUGAAUGUUAUCUAUCUGACUGGUCAAACCCAUUAUUUUUUUUUGUAACACGGUCAAACCCAUUAUCUGAACUCCGUAAACUACCUUUCCUCUUCGUCUUCAACAAUUACUUCGCUUUCUAGGGUUCAUGGUGUUUUCAGCUCAUGUUCAUAAUCCGACCAUGGAGUUUCUGGAAGGUGAUGGGACUUUUAACGGUGAAUAUCUAGAGUGAAUUGUUGUUCGUGUCGUUUGGAUUUACGCCGGGUAAGGGGAAUUGAUGUUCGUGUCAUGAAUGACCAUCUUAACUCCUUCAUUCCACUUACGAUUCCUCAUUCAAUUCACUGCAUCUCCCUUGACUCUCAGUCGUUGAAUCUCUAUGUAUAAAAAGGUGAGCCUUCAUCCCCAGAACAUCACCCUUUCAUUCCUUACAACCCAAAAAACUUCCGUAGAGCAAAAUGGCGAACUCAUCUGUCCUCCUUGCUGACAAUCAAAACACAUAAGAGGUAACCUUCAUUUCUCUCUCUUUAUAUGUAUGUUUAUAUGUAUGUGUAUAUUUCUCAGUACAUUGUCUUAGAAAUAAGCUUAUUUGUUUUGUUGGAGCAGUUGAUUUGUUGCAGACCUUGCGGGGAAUGGUAACAUCAAAUAUGUGUUCUUUACAAUCUACAUAAAUACAUUGACACAACCGCAUACUUCUUUUGAUUGUGUCAGUUGCUGUUUUUUCUUCUCAAUUUUCAUACUUCACUAUUACAAGACUCAAUCAAGUCUGGCUGAUGUAGUUUAUCACUGCAACUGUUUAACUUUGUUCCAAAAUAUCUGUUCUGUUGAUACUUGAUGUUAACUUUCUGUGUGGCAAGAGUAACCAAUAUUUGACAUAGUGCCGAGGCCUAUGCUCGAGUCAGAGCGCAUUUGAUUUCACAAUAGAUUUUCUUACAUGGGUCCGACAAUAUGGUUUCACCUAAAUAGUUCUAGCUUUAUGAAUGAAUCUGAACCAGAGCCGGUUGGUAAUGUUUGUUAAUUAGUCCGAUCUAUGAGCUUUUUUGUCACAUUUCAACUGAGAUGUUAACUUGGUAGUUCUUCUUGGACACGUGAGAGCAGGAGCCCAACCGAAAUAACCAUCUCCACCAAUGACUAGAACACUUAGAUUUUAAUGAUGAGUUAUUGGUAGAUGUUUCAGGUUGCGGUUGCUCGGAAAUGACAACUUCUUCUCUUCUGUUUCUCUUGGAAGACAAGUACUUUGAGAGAAUAUCUGAAAUGACUUUAGGAUUGAAGGUCUGCCUUAAACCAAACGGUUUAACCAAACGAGUUAGGCAAGAGGAGCACAUGGGAGGUUAGGCAGGUCCAGUGGUAGAUAAUCUUCUGUAGCUGUUUUCUUAACGUGGGUGAUGAUAUUGGAGGAGAAGCCGACAGAGCUGCUGCUGAUAUCGGUUUGUAGACAAAUUUUAACUUUACACAAGACAAAUUCGACUAUGAUAUAUACUUAUAACAUAUCCAAAUAUUCUGAUAUAAAGUUACACGACCUUUGAUAUUUUUCUGCGUAUAACCAGUAUGCAACUUACAGAGAUAUAAUUUAUGUUCAAUUUAUAUUAUUUUAGUUAUAAUUUAUCUAUAUUUUGUUUAACAAUAACCAACACAUUAUUAUUUUCUUUAUCACGAAGAAUAAACCUUAUGGGAUGUUAGAGAAGAAAAAAAUAUUCAACAUAAAAUGAGUAUUAAACAAAUCGGCUUAUUACAAUAAGAUAAUCCCAUCAAACAAGAAAUACCAAAUAAACACCCAAAGCUAUCAUCAAUUGCUUUCUGUGUCAAAGCUAGAAUCCUAACACUCGCCUUACACAAUAGAAAUCUCCAUAGAUUGUAAUUGUUAUCAUGAUUCUACGAUUUACUACGUUAACCGAAACAAACCACAGUUAAUACACUUAAUUUGUUAUUAUUUUAUGGUCCAUUUGCUAAUUCAAUGCAUAAAACAAUUUAUAUUAGUUGCUACAACAAAUUAUAAAAACUAAAAUAGCCUCUAUAAAUCAAUAUACUACUAGCAUAUACAAAUCAUAUAAAUCAGAGGCCACAGCAAUAGUUCAACUACAAAAGCUCAUGUUAUUUCCACUAAUGCAUUCACAUAACCAAAAUCACAUUCCAUAAUAUGUUUAAAACACACACAAUUAAUUAAAAAGUAUAGUCAACUGCAAAAGCUCAAAGACAAUUCAAAACACAUGAUCUUCAUUCUCAACCGUCUAUCCAGUGAUUUGAACUUGGUAUACAAACAAACUAACUACAACAAUGUCAGUAGCCAUAUUAACAAAAAAAACUAUCAUAUAUGGUAAAUUAUAUUUCAAAUGACGAGAUGAUCAUGUAUGUAAAAUAGCGUUCCUGCGUAAACAAAAUUGAUAACUAUCAGAUUAGAUUCCUUCACCUUCUGUUACCUCAUGUUACUUUAUGCAAACAUCUAAUAUUACAUAAGUAAUUUUAUAAUUAAUUAUAUAUUUUAACUCGAAUAAAAUUCUAUCAAAAUCCUACUGUAAAACUAAAUUUAGUAAAAAAAAAACAUAAUCCAGUAAUAUAUAUAAAAUUAAAUGAAAUAAAAAUAUAUGAAUCUAUUUACAAGUUUGCUUCUUUUCUACUAAAAAAAUGAAAAAAGGAUCUCACUGAUUUCUUGGUCAUCCAACCCCCGAAAAUCACAAGAAAUGAUGUAACCCAAAUUUAAUUCUUAAUUUAUAAUUAAAACUUAAAUUAUUAAAAAAAAUAAAACCUUUAAAAAAUAAUAUGUAGUAUUUAUUUUUUUUAAAUCAUAGCCAGUUUUUGGAAAACAUGGUUUAUUUAGAAAAUCAUAUCUUAAAAAAUAAUAGGUAGUAUUUAUAUUUAAAAAGCAUAACCAAUUAUUAUUCAGACAAUAUGGUUUAUUUAGUUUUCAAAUUCAAUAACACAUAACUUUUUAACAAAUAUGUAUAUUUUAAAUAAUAACAACUAAUAUUAAAUAUUCAUUCUGAUUACUUAAAUUAUUUACUAGUCUGUUUCCCGCCCGUAGGGCGUACUUAUCCUAGUGAUAUAUAUAAACGUGAUGUUAAGGAAACCGAUUAAUCGAAAACGAUGAAAUGAAAACGUUUUCGAAAAACAGAUCGUUGAAUCGAGAUGAAUCUUUUUCCUUAGCUCUUAAUAUGAAUUAUAGUUUCAGGUUUAAACCACAACUAGGUAAUAAUCCGCCGUGUGCGGGGUAAAAUAGUUGAUUAUAUUAUUUAUUUUACGCUGUAAUAAGAAAUUUGUUGUCUAGCUUUUUCAAGGGAUGGACAUUCAGAUAUCCGUUCGGAUUCAGUUGAUCUAUUCAGAUUUUGACUUUUAGAGUUAGAAAUAUAAAUACGAUUCUGAUAUUUAAAAUUUCGGGUUGACUUUGGAUUGGAUUUGGUUCGAAUCAUUGCAUGUGCGGUUCGGGUACCAAUUUUAAUUAUGUAAUUUUGAACAAAUCCAAAUAUACUUCAUCCUCAAAAUCCGAAAAUAAAAAUAAUAUAAAACAUAAACAUUUGAAUAAUUUAAGACUAAAUAAUUAAAUUUACAUAAAAAAAUAGUUCAUUUUAAAUAUUUAGAUGGAAAAUAUAUAUAUUUUUAGUAUUUUGAACAUAUUUUGUUAUUUUAGAUAUAUUCAUAUUAAUGAAUAUCUAAUAGAUAUAAAAUUUAAAAUAACUAAUAUAUUUAAGUAUAUAAUUGUGUUUUAGAUAUUUUCGGUACCUAAAAUAUUUCAGUUUGGAUCGGAUUCGGGUCUAGUUAUCAGGAUAUUAAACUUUUAGAUUAAUUUGAGUACUUAAUCAGUUUUAGUUUGUGUUUAGUAUUACUUUCAAAUCAAGUUUGGUUCUUCGAAUCCAAAUAUUUUACCAAGACUUACUUUCUUCUAAAAAUAUAAAGAAAAAUAAAUAAAUGUAAAACUAAUAUGUUAGGCUUAUUUUACAUACAUAAUUAUUGGAUCAUACUUUAAGAAUACCAAUAAAAAUGGUUGGGAAUCGUGUCAAUAUUGUUGAACAUGUAAAAAAUUGACGUAGUUUAUAAAAAAUAACUAGACUUUGAUCCGCGCGUCCGCGCGGAUAUAUUUUUCAAAAAUAUGUUUCUAUUUGUUUUUCAUGUCAAUAUUGAUUCCUCCUCCCCCCAAUUUUAAGAAACCGCGUGCCAUUAUCAAGUUCUUGGGAGGCGCCUUCGUCGGAGCUGUCCCUGAACUCACCUACAGGUUCUUUUAUCCUUUAUGCCUUGAUGGAUGGAUUUAUUGGUUUAGAUAUCUUGAGAAAACUGGAAGAUGUUAUUUUGUGAUCUCUAGUUACCUCAAGGAGCUACUGGCUAAAGAAGGGUAUUUGAUUGUAUCUGUGCCAUACAACGUCACUUUUGAUCAUGAACAAGCUGCCAAGCAGGUUUACCAGAGGUUCAACUCCUGCUUGGACGCGAUUGUCUUAUCUGGAGUUCCAAAUGCCAAUUUGAACCCUCAAGAUCUAUCUAACCUUCCUGUUUUCUCUGUUGGUCACAGGUUCUCUUCUUGUCUCCUCAGCUAAAUCUGUUCACUUCAUCCUUAUGUUUUGUUUCUCAAUCUUAUGAUUUCUCUGUGCUCUGAAUGCUGACAGUAACGGUGCGCUGCUCCAAGUUUUGACCGGAAGUUAUUUUUCUGACAAGAUACCAAAGGUUUGGUUUCUCGUGAACUAAUGUCAAUAAAAUGCUUCGUCUUUAUUUAUAACUAAGUAAGUGAAGAAAAAGUGAUAUCUCUUGUUAAAGGUUAAUGCCAUCAUUUCAUUCAACAACAAAUCAGCCACAGAGGCAGUUCCAUAUUUUGAGCAGGUAAUAUUACUCAUUGGUUGUUACCUUAUGAUUAGUCUUCUAAGCUUUACUUAUUGUUAUAACCUGAGCUACAAUAGAGUCGAAGCUCCACGUGUUCACUUAAGAAAUAAGACUAGCAGUGCUUGUAUCUUAGAUUGCCUAUGUUGCCUUUGCAGCUUGGUCCUCUCAUCCAGCAGAUGAUGCCAGUCGUGGAAGCUUCUCCAUUAUAUGAAAUAGCUCGAAAUGCUUCAGGUGUUGCUACCAAACGCUACAAGCUCUAAUGCAGAUCUUCUCUCAGUUAACCCAACCCAUUCAUUAGUAGAAACAAUGUUUUUAGUCUUUCUUGCCUGUUAAGUCUUAGCAUAGGAUAAGUGAACCUUUCUAGGAUGUGAUUUCAUGCUGAGAUGAGACUUGUUAUCACCUUUCAGGUGAUGGCUUGAAAGCACUACUCGAUACCGCUGGGAAAACGAUUCUGAACAAUGAUCAAGAAGCUCUCAAGUCAUUUACUAAUUUGGUGGAUCAAUUGCCCUCAGUAUUUGGUGAGGUAUUUCUUUACCCUAGUAGUAUCCAAGGUUGUUAGAAUGAUUUAUGUUGUUCCUUUGUAAUUGACCAAGCCAUAAGAGAACUUAAAUUUUUUUUUUGCUCUUUUGUCUUGUUGUUCUAUCAAAAGGUUGGACAAGGGGUGUCGGAAUUCAGACCAUCACCACUUGAGAAUCGUACUUGCUUCAAAUGCUCCUACAGCGUUCCGCACACUUUACUGGUAAUGCGCACACACACAGAUAUUUGUUUUUGUUUUCUUGCAUUGAUUUUUAGUAGAAAUGAAGUCUCUGCGUGAUUCAUAUGGUCUCAGGUACAAUUCAACUCUGAUGCAAUCGACGAGACUGAUUUACUGGAAGAAACCCUGAGGCCUCGGAUAGAAUCUUUUGGUGGUACACUUGAAAAGGUUCGGCUGAACGGGAACCAUCUCACACCUUGCAUACAGGUAUAAAAACAGAGCAAGUAUAGAGCUAGUAACAUCAUUGCUCUGUUUCUUGUUCGGUCUGUUAACAGUGUGUUGUCUCCAGGACCCCAAAUGGCAAAUUGGGUCUGUUUACACGCCAGCAGACGCUGUGGCUCAGGCGCUAAAGACAAUACCUCUGAGGGACACCCGUGUUCUUUCAAGGACAAUCGUCGAUUGGUUUACAAGGUUUGAGAAUUGAGCCAACCUCGUGUAUUGUUAAGAAAUGGUAAAAAUAUGUAUAUACAUGAGUCAUGGUAUUACAAAUAUCUUUAUUGUUAUUGUCGAGUCAACGCAAAAUAUGGGAUACAAGUCUUGUU
Molecule: long non-coding RNA, 7955 nt
Filed under: Brassica napus (rape)
Lineage: Eukaryota; Viridiplantae; Streptophyta; Magnoliopsida; Brassicales; Brassicaceae
Description: long non-coding RNA (BNAP_LNC025250)
Source: RNAcentral